CGGAGCAGAAGAUCGUUCGGGAGCUGUGGCGUCUUGUCAAUUUCAAAUUAUUUUCACGCUAUCGAUACUACUAAUCAUCUCUAAUGAAUUAUUUUGCAUUAUUAUAUCUUCAUAGAUAAUGAGUGAUUGCAUACACAGAUUGUCCAGCAUUGGAAGUGUCCAGUACGAACGCAUAUAUCUAAUUUUAUAAUAUGUGAAAUGUUUUAUUUUAUUCGUAAGGCAUACACAAUGGCAAGAGAAAUGGCGGUAGAAAUGUAAGUGGCGAAGAAGAAGAAGAAGAAGAGGAAGAAAAAGCAAAGAAGGUUAUCAGAGAGGGUCGACCCGAUUUCUAACGGGCGACCAUUCUCGAGGCACCAUGAGUGAGAAAUAACGGGCUUCCCCAAAAUCACCUGGGCCCCGUUAUUAGCCGUUAGAAACGAAACCUGUUGUUGGAAACCAUAACGCGGAUCCUUACGCACGUUUUCGUAUAGAUAGAUCGAUAGACAAUCUUUCAAUCUUUCAAUCUUUUUAUUUUGUAUUUUUUGAG
This is a long non-coding RNA of Polistes dominula (European paper wasp), 526 nucleotides long. RefSeq lists it as uncharacterized. The record is from RefSeq and is a predicted model, not a curated record. NCBI's taxonomy places the organism in Eukaryota, Metazoa, Arthropoda, Insecta, Hymenoptera, Vespidae.